This 30-nucleotide non-coding RNA is filed under the name Rattus norvegicus (Norway rat). Lineage: Eukaryota; Metazoa; Chordata; Mammalia; Rodentia; Muridae. The record is from RNAcentral.
GACGAAACUGGAAAUCUCAGUGAUCACAAG